CGCUGCUAAAGGACAGCCAGUGUUAAGAACUGGCUUAAGAUGAGGUCAGAGUUUAGAGGCGAAUCAACUUAAAGAAAACAUUGAAUAAGAAAAUGUUUAGGCACCAGUCUGGAGGCUUGGAGUACAUCCAGGAGCACCAUGUGAGUUCCCUGUUCUCAGGGCUUACGUUCUGGAAGUGCACCGUGGACCUCUGCCAGCUGUUAAAAUUAGAUGUGCAUAGCCCAAUCCAAGGAUGAACUUGAGUUGGCAUGACCUGAAGCGCAGACAUUUCAGGAAUCCUCUCACCAAAGGCAAGGAAAGACCCUAAACGAUGUAUUUGGAAAUCUGUGUGCUGUUUACAUCUCGCAACAUGGAGGAGAUUCUGAAACUCCCACCAAGUCUACUAUAUGCACGUAGACCCCAGACCAGUUAGAACCAAAAGGUUGAUGAUGUUGACUCCCAGUUACCUCACCACCAACCAAUCAGAAGAAUGUCCACAAGCCAAUCACUCACCCCUCAACCCUCUCCUCAGUGAGUAGUCCUUUUCCUCUUUUCCCUAUACAGUAA
Physeter macrocephalus (sperm whale) is the source of this 546-nucleotide long non-coding RNA. RefSeq lists it as uncharacterized. The record is from RefSeq and is a predicted model, not a curated record. NCBI's taxonomy places the organism in Eukaryota, Metazoa, Chordata, Mammalia, Artiodactyla, Physeteridae. The transcript has 4 exons.